This 65-nucleotide transfer RNA is filed under the name marine eukaryotic metagenome. It matches the Rfam family "tRNA", at positions 5 to 66 of the family's 71-position model. From Rfam's summary of the family: Transfer RNA (tRNA) molecules are approximately 80 nucleotides in length. Their secondary structure includes four short double-helical elements and three loops (D, anti-codon, and T loops). The record is from RNAcentral.
CCGUAGCUCAGCUGGUAGAGCAGCUGAUUUGUAAUCAGCAGGUCGGGGGUUCGAAACCCUCCGGU